This 231-nucleotide unclassified non-coding RNA is filed under the name plant metagenome. RNAcentral describes it as "partial contains small subunit ribosomal RNA, internal transcribed spacer 1, and 5.8S ribosomal RNA". The stretch from base 183 to 231 matches the Rfam family "5.8S ribosomal RNA", at positions 1 to 49 of the family's 154-position model. The record is from RNAcentral.
UUUCCGUAGGUGAACCUGCGGAAGGAUCAUCCAUAAUAAAGUGUUUUAUGGCACUUUUUAAAAAUCCAUAUCCACCUUGUGUGCAAUGUUAGAUCUCGUCAAUCUUGGCGAGAUUUUUAUACAUCAACUCAUUUUUUAACUAAUUUGUCUGAAAAAUAUUAUGAAUACUUAAUUCAAAAUACAGCUUUCAACAACGGAUCUCUUGGCUCUCGCAUCGAUGAAGAACGUAGC